Molecule: ribosomal RNA, 944 nt
Filed under: uncultured organism
Description: bacterial SSU rRNA
Rfam family: Bacterial small subunit ribosomal RNA
Source: RNAcentral
UUGACGGUACCCUACUAGAAAGGAGCCGCUAACUUCGUGCCAGAAGCGUCGGUAAUACGGGGGCUCCAAGCGUUAUCCGGUGUUAUUGGGCGUAAAGAGUCGUGUAGGUGGUUGGGUAAGUUAUCUUUCAAAUAUCUUUGCUUAACAAAGAGGAGGGGGAUAAUACUGCUCGACUAGAAUUUUCUCAAGGGAGAUCGGAACUGAGGGAGGAGUAGUGAAAUGCGUUGAUACCCUCGGGAACACCAGUGGCGUAGNCGGAUCUCUGGGAGAAGAUUGACACUGAGACACGAAAGCUAGGGGAGCGAAGCAGAUUAGAGACCCGCGUAGUCCUAGCCGUAAACGCAUGCUUGCUAGCUGCAUGAAUCUACCUUCGGGUGGUAUCGUGUGGCGAAGGUAACCCGUUAAGCAAGCCGCCUGGAAAGUACGGCCGCAAGGCUGAAAUUCAAAGGAAUUGGCGGGGAGGCACACAACCAGUGGAACAUGUGGUUUAAUUCGAGACUAACCGAAGAACCUCACCAGGGUUUGACAUGUAGCUGCACGUCUUAAGAAAUUAAGACUCUCUUGAAGGUGCUACACAGGUGCUGCAUGGCUGUCGUCAGCUCGUUCCGUGAGGAGUGCCCUUAAGUGGGACAACGAGCGCAACCCCUAUUACAUGUUAGAAAUGUCAUGUAAGACUGCCUUGCCAUUUGGCGGGGAGGAAGGAGGGGCAGACGUCAAGUCCGCAUGGUCCUUAUGCCCUGGGCUACACACAUGUUACAAUGAGUACGGCAAUGAGUCUGUCGCGAGCACGUAAGUGUAAGCUAAUCUCUUAAAUGUACUCUCAGUGGGGAUUGAGGUCUGCAACUCGACCUCAUGAACACGGAAUUGGUAGUAAUCGCGGGUCAGCUAUACCGCGGUGAUACGUUCUUGCCUCUUGCACACACCGCCCGUCAAACCAGCAAAGU